Molecule: ribosomal RNA, 496 nt
Filed under: uncultured bacterium
Lineage: Bacteria
Description: partial 16S ribosomal RNA
Rfam family: Bacterial small subunit ribosomal RNA
Source: RNAcentral
GAUGAACGCUGGCGGCGUGCCUAAUACAUGCAAGUCGAGCGAACAGACGAGGAGCUUGCUUCUCUGAUGUUAGCGGCGGACGGGUGAGUAACACGUGGAUAACCUACCUAUAAGACUGGGAUAACUUCGGGAAACCGUAGCUAAUACCGGAUAAUAUUUUGAACCGCAUGGUUCAAUAGUGAAAGACGGUCUUGCUGUCACUUAUAGAUGGAUCCGCGCUGCAUUAGCUAGUUGGUAAGGUAACGGCUUACCAAGGCAACGAUGCAUAGCCGACCUGAGAGGGUGAUCGGCAACACUGGAACUGAGACACGGUCAAGACUCCUAGGGAAGGAAGCAGUAGGGAAUCUUCGGCAAUGGGCGAAGGCCUGACGGAGCAACGCGGGGUGGGUAAUGAAGGUCUUCGGAUCGUAAAACCCUGUUAUUAGGGAAAAAAAAAGGUGAAAGUAACUAGGAAAGUCUGAACGGAACCUAACAAGAAGGCAACGGCUAACUACGU